ACCGAUGACAACAGGUUAUCAGGUAGAUGACACUGAAGAAGCAUUUUCUGACACUACACUGUACAGGAGUGUGCUAGGCAAGCUAAACUUCAUUGCCAGAUGUUCAAGACCAGACAUUGCUGUUAGCUGUAAUUUGCUAAGCAGACAAGUCAACAAUCCUAGUGUCAAGGAUUGGAAAGCUCUGAAACACAUAGCGCGGUAUUUGAAAGGCACUAUGCAUUACAGACUGAGAUUUAACAAUCAGAAGUCUGGUGGUCUUGAGAUAUUUGCAGAUGCAAGUUUUGGAAGUGACGCUACAGACAGGAAAAGUACGUCUGGAGUUUGCUAUAUGUACAAUCAGAGUCUUUUUGAUUGGUCAUGCAAGAAGCAAACAACAGUUAGCUUAAAUACUUGUGAAGCUGAACUGAAUGCACUGUCUUAUUCACUUAAGGAUUGUGAAUGGUUAGUACAAUUGUGCAAAGAUAUGAAAAUUCCUGUCAAAUGUCCAAUCCAGGUUUACCAGGACAACAAAGCAUGUUUGGCUUUGCUGAAGUCUGAAGGUUGUAAGCAAAGCACAAAGCACUUGCAAUUAAAGUUGCAGCAUGCUAGGGAAUGUAUUCAGAAGGGACUCGUAACGGUGUCCUAUAUGCCAGGUAAUGAAAUUCCUGCUGAUGUAUUGUCCAAGAUUGUAUCAAGGGAUCAACACUGUACCUAUGUGCAGAAGUUGGGUUUGUACUGAUAUUGUGCAAACACGCUGCCCAGUGAUGUUCACAGAAAGGGGGAGGAUGUUGGUUUCUGCUUUCCUUCACUGAGCAGCAACUGCUGUCAUGAGACAGGUGUUUACAUUCCACAGACUGUACUGUUGGAGUUUCUCACGGGAAAGGGAGACUGGAUGUGACGUACACUGGUUUCCUGUUUUUUCACUGUGUGAUUCUCUCCAAGCUGUCGAGGAGAGAGGAUGCAUUUUUCUGCUUUGGCAGAGGCAAGAUGUCUUUCUGUAAUAUACCAGCUUUGAACUGUAAAUAAAGCAAUAUAGAGUAUGUAGCACG
Molecule: long non-coding RNA, 1028 nt
Filed under: Podarcis lilfordi (Lilford's wall lizard)
Lineage: Eukaryota; Metazoa; Chordata; Lepidosauria; Squamata; Lacertidae
Source: RNAcentral